Molecule: non-coding RNA, 5433 nt
Organism: Equus caballus (horse)
Lineage: Eukaryota; Metazoa; Chordata; Mammalia; Perissodactyla; Equidae
Source: RefSeq, a predicted model, not a curated record
CCAGGAUUUGAACCAACAAAACACUGGGCCGCCUGCAGCGGAGCGCGCAAACUUAACCACUCGGCCACAGGGCCAGCCCCAAGGCAUAAACAUUUUUAAGGCUACUGAUAUAUCUAUUGCCACGUUCUUUCCAAAAACGUUGUACCAAUUACUGCUAAAAGCCACGAGUAAACAUAAACUGAGUAUUAUUUCAAAAACUCUUGUUAGUUUGAAAGGUGGAAAGGACCUCUUGCUGUCGAGGCUUUGCCCCUGGAUCUCAUUUAUUUUUCCGAAGGACCCUGUGAAGGAGGCCUGGUUCCUUAUAAUGUUAUUAAUCCUGCUGAGAUUUUGGUGCCCUCUUAUAUUUUGCCCUUGAGGUGAGUGCCUCACUUGCCUCACCCUAGACCCAGCUCUGACUCGCUCCACUUUGCAAAUGAGGAAAUCAAGGAUGACAAAUGAGGUAUCUUGAUUAGGGUCACACAGCCAGGAAGUCUCAGUGAUGACAUUCAGAUCCGGGCAUGUGUUGACUCUAAAACCCUGUUUCUUUCUACUGUAACUGGUGCUUCACUCCUGGUUUACGGAUGUGAAUGAUGAGGAGAGAGAAGAAAUCGUUCACAGAACUGAGAAAUCCUGGAGGAGACUGAGCUGGUCCUUUCCAGUGUGUAAGUGUGUGGUGGUACUUUGGUGUGGGUCACACUGAUUUGGGGGCACAGGGAAAGCAGACCUGUACACUGUGGGGUAUGUAGCAGGAAGGAGCAUGACCAGGUGUGAGAGAGGCAGGGCUCCGCAUGCGGGGCAGGAGCGGAAGUCUGGGGCACGCCUGAUCGAAAGCUCCAGCGUUUAUCAAAUCUGAGAGCAAAGGUGAGCUGGACCCGGAACAGAACUGUGACAAGGCAGAGUUCCUGGGGAUGGUCACACGUGGGUGGGUCACAAUCCGGAGCCUGCUGCCAGGUGCCCAGGAGUGCCCACUUCUGUAGCUGCAGCCAGUUAACCACGUCCAGCAAGGACAAAGCUGAUAGGGAAACACUCCUGGGAAGGCAGGGGCAGGGCUGUGAGCUCCCGACACUGACCAAAGGAGCAAGGGGUCACUGCAGGUCUGCAGGGCUGGCUUAGGUGAUGAGCACGGGCCCAGACUGCCCCUGAGCUUUAUGGACAGCCACUGGCACAGGGUGAUUUACUUGAAUUGGGCACAGGAGGUUCUGUUUGCAGGAAGCAGAACAUAAAUCCUUGGGGUGGAAAUGGGAGGAGGAGUCUUCCUGCCUCACACCUCAGUGUCCUCUGUUGUGCCAGGCUGCAUUUUCAGUCUUUAGACCACUUCCAAGGGCAGAGGACCUGGCAGUAGAGCCAUUCUACUCAUUAGUCUCUUGCUUCUUAUCUCAUUAGACUCAGACACAUCUAAUGUGAUAAGAAGGGAGCCUGAGGGGAUAACGGACAAUUCUGGCCCUGGUUGAAUAGAGAACAAGGUGAGCUUCUGAGAGUAGGGCAAACCAAGGCAGGUUAGGGGGCAUUUGAGAUGUUCGGUCAACUGAAGCCUGUAAGAGUUGAUUGAAGGUUGGCCAAGUAGCCGUGGAUGGGUCGGGUGAAUGGGAGUGACUCAGCACAGUGUGGUCUGGCAGCUGUGGGGUGGGAACAGAGCAACCAGCAGGACGGCUGGGUGCCUGGCCAAUGAGGCAACAGGACGGGGAGGGGGUGGGGAAAGAGGUGCAGAUGCUACAGAGAGCAGUGGUGAAAGGGUCAGCCAUGGGCUCCAGGUGGGGCGGGCAGGUCUGGAAAGCAGAAGGAGAGAGGGAGUAGAUAGGCAGGAGGAUGGUCAAGACAAGGGAGAACAGGGUUCAUAGGCUUGAGGGAUUGGUGGUGGAGGGAGCAAGAGGGAAGUGGUUAAGGGAGGGAAGCUCAGAGCUGCAGAUCUGGGAGAAGGAGCAGCACGCAGCGGUUUCAAACACCAAGGUCUGGCUUUGCUGGCAGUGGCUUGACUGGAGGAAAGAGAAAAGCCAGGGAGGUUGAGGGUGUGAAGAUGGAAAGAUGAUUUCCUGUCGGGUGGAAUUCUGUCCAGAGAGACGGUUGAGAGGGGAUGGUAGAACUGCUGAUUGUAAGGAGAACUUGAAGCCAGAACUUGUCUGCCCUCCCCUGCACCGGGGAGUCUGUGAAGGGGACUGGAGCCUGCUGGGCAGGACAUGUGGCCAUUCUGUCGCCUGAGGAAGGGAAAAGAACAUCAACCUUAAUUAAUAUCUGCUAUGUUUAUAUAAUUUAAUUCUCUUCAUGACUCUCCAAGGUAGGUAUUGUUGUGUAAAACACAGAUGAUGAAACCAAGGCAGAGAGAAGCAGAAUAACUUGCCCAGGUUUCACACAGUAAGUGGGGGAGGGUGGUCAGAAUUGGAAGCAGGUCCAUUGAUGUCAACGUCUGAGGCUCCACAGGUAACUGGGGCAGAGGUUAAUUCCAUUAGGAGGACUAUAAAAUCUACAGGUAAACGGUAACUAGUACUGAUGGCAGUAGGAGGUUAGUUCCGUGAUGGAGCGAUGAUGUCUGUCCCAUUCAAUCCUGGGUGCCCAGCACCUAGCCCCCUGCCUGACACAUAGUGGGCCUCAGUAAAUGCUUGUUGAAUGAAUAAGCAAGUCCACUCAGAGUAAUGAAGAAAGAGGUGCAGGGAUCCAAAUUCCUACCAAUUUCCAGGAGUCUCAGGGAGGGGAUUUAUAACUCAUCUGGAAGGGCUUUAAGGUGCCAGAUGCCUCUUUUAACCAGGGAGGUCAGAGAAUUGGAGUUGACUGAAACCACAGAGCAUGGAUGAGGGUGGGAAGGGGGCUCCAGUAGAGAUGGACUCUAUCCACACAGGCUAGAACCAUGGGUAGGAGCCUCCAGUUUCUCAGUGGGAUGUCAGCCUCACUACCUGCCCUCCACUUGCCCAACUACAGAUUUGGCCUCAGGAGACUGGAGGAAGCCAGGCUCCAGACUUUCUGCCGAGGGCCAAAUUUCUCUCUCCCCAUGGUGCCGCUGGAGAUGUCUGGGGAGGCUCGUCCAAAGCUGAGGCUGUGCUUCCUCCUCCAGGUCUUGUAAAUUCCAUCCUCCAGUCAAGAAAGCUAUCAAUUUGGACCAAAUUAGUAACCCUACAGAGAAAAUCCCUGAUGAAAAUUCCCUUCUGAGAAAGUGAUUUUAGAAAUCUGUGCUGAGAAAAACUUGGUUUCUGUUGAAGAAUGAUAUUUGAGGCAACGUAAAUCACAAUGAUAUGAGACAGUGUUGCUAGAUUCUCUGACCAUAAACGAGAACUCCUAAGCUACUCAUGUUUUCCUUUUUGCUUUGGCUUCUAGGAAAUUCACCCCCAGCAGUUAUAUUUUUCUUUAGGUUGGCAUAUUCAUAGACUCUUUUCUUCUUAGCCCUGAUUUUCUAUUUACAUCGUCUUACGUGGUUUUAAUUUCAGUUGCCUCAAUAUCUUGUAGAAGUGAAAUAAAUAAAUGCAGAAGAAUAAAAGUUAAGUGAGUGUCUUCCUCCUGUUCAUCCCUGUGGAGUCUUCUUCAAUGAAAAGGGCAGUUGCUGACCCUCCUGGGCAAGGCAGCCGCCUGGUGGCACCAAAGCUUUCCCACAGUUGUCUUUAGAGAGGUGAUUUGGCCUGAAAGUUUCUGUCCUGCUGGCCAUUUCUUGGACUGUGCCACACACAUUGCUCCUGUCCAAAAUGCUAUGGGUUUAGUUCUAGCGACUGGGCAGAGCUGACCUAAGGGAGCCUGGCUGGCUUCUUUCAGAUGCUCAACUUAAAAGAUCAAAGUUUCAAAAGGGGUGGGGCAACUCUCAACCAGACCAGGCCAGUUGGGGGCUGUGCCUCGUCUAUGGAGGCAGCUGCAUUUUCCUACCCCAUCCAAGGCAACUGCAGGCGGGACCCUCAUCACAAAUGCAGAGUUUAGGGAGCAUGUCACAGGGGCACGGGAAAGGGGCCUUUUCAGCUUCAUCCAAUGUUCUGGUGACUUCCAUGUGAAAUGAACAUAUUGCUCCUGAUAUUGGGCACAUCACUGGACAAUGGUCAUCAUACCUCUAAAAUAGAAACCGAGUAUUAAAAAGACCCAAGAAUGCCAAUGUUAUCAUUCACCUUUGCCUCCAUUAUGCAUUUAGAGAAAUUAUGUCAUUUAAAGCCAUUUUGCAUCUAGACCUCUAUGCCUGAGAUUAGUAAAAAGCCAUCAGUAGAAGUUGGAAGAAUGUAAUUAUAUAAAAUCUUUAAAUUCAGGCUCUUGACCCCUCAUGGAUCCAUUUGUUAUAAUAAUUAAGCGUGACAGAUGUCUCCUUUGAGAAUCCAUUUUUAGUCACGUCAAUUUCUCAUGCUAUUUUCUCAAGCCUCUGCAGCAUCCGAUCACCCGUAUUUCCAGAGAAGAAAAGAGAAGUGGAAUCCUACAAAUCAUAAGGGGUAUUUAUGUCCAGACCAGGUGACUAUUCAGCUAUUCGGACUUGGGAUCACUGGCCAGAACUGGUCAUUGACAUCGUUCUGAGGGUGCCUCUUACCUGUGGAUUGGAGACUUCGCUCAUCUGUAGAAACCCAAGGAGGGGGAUGAGAAGAUCCCUGCAUUUCUUGUGACUUCCUUGGGGCUGAAGAUAUCAGCCACGGGCUCAAGGGUCUUCCUGAUAAAGCACGCUGCUUUUCAUCAUCAGCUGUUGACUGCGUGUCACAUUUCCAGGCAGGAGGUGGACACCUAGUGGCUUUCUAGGAGUCAUCCCUGCAGAAAGAAGCCUCUCACUGUUCUAAGCCCUGUAGUUCUGGAGUCAUUGGCGUGACCUCAGGAGCCCACUUUUUGGCCUCUUGCACCACAGCAAUUGAGAGCUGCAGACUUAGAUUCUCUAUUGUUGACUGUGACUGAGAUCUUGAAUCCACCUCAGUCUAGCAGAAGGACUGGCAAACUAUGACCUUGGGCCAACUCUGGCCUUCCACCUGUUCUUGAAAAUAAAGUUUUAUUGGAAUUCAGCCACUCCCAUUCAUUCACAUAUUGCCCAUGCUGCUCUCAUGCUGUAACAGCAGAGCUGAGUAGUUGCAACAGAAACCAUAUGGCUGGCAAAGCCUAAAAUAUUUAUUAUCUAGCCUUUUUCAGAAAAAGUUUGCUCAAUCCUGGUCUAGAAUUAUAAGAGACCAUAUUUUUAUUUACUUAAUUUAGAGCAGAAGAUUAUAAUUCAGAGUCCUGGAAUAUCCAGGAUAUUUGGGGCAGGAUCUAAGGCUUUCAUUACAGGGAUGGGAAAGACUUGAGGCUUCAGCUCAAGUCUGAUGAUUGGUAACGGCUGCCUAGCGGGCUGUUGAAAAGGAUUCUGAGGCUGUGUCUGGGCUGGUGUGGGCUCUUCUAGCGAGGGGAAAACAGAGCCAUGAGAAAUUCAGGCAAGGAGCACCAGACUGGGAAAUGAGCAAGACAAAUCCACUCUCUUUCCCAAACAUAAAUAACAUCCAGGGACAGCUCGGCACUGCCCCCGAUGCCAGCACUUGGCAUUGCUGA